UGGCUCAAGUGGUAGAGUACCUGCUUUACAAGUUGGAGGCCCUGAGUUCAAAUCCCAG
RNAcentral lists this transfer RNA (58 nucleotides) under Dipodomys ordii (Ord's kangaroo rat). It matches the Rfam family "tRNA", at positions 8 to 63 of the family's 71-position model. From Rfam's summary of the family: Transfer RNA (tRNA) molecules are approximately 80 nucleotides in length. Lineage: Eukaryota; Metazoa; Chordata; Mammalia; Rodentia; Heteromyidae. The record is from Rfam by way of RNAcentral.